UCCAAACCUGACGGCUAGCAGUUUCGACGAAGAUACAGGUUUGACCUGUGCUAUUAUCAAAGUACAGGGCAUCGGAUUAACAGCCAAGUCAAUGUUCGUUUGAUCUCCGGCAACAUCACCCGAUGUGGCCAAAGUUCUUUCUCGUACAUUCGAAUUAAAACGUUUUCUGUCUUAUCGCUACACGUAAACUAUACGUAAAAUAUGCAGUUAGUGUCGGCGGUGCGUGUUUUACGAAAUGUCAGACUUGUGGAUUGCGAAUCACAGAGACGCAGAAUCGUGUGACUCCACCACAUUUUACGUGAAAUGCAUGUACUCGUGUUCUUCGAUCGAGAGAGGAAAACCUCCGCACCUUCUUCCUCCUGGAGAGACGUAGACCAAGUCACCUAAUUUUCUCGUUAAAUUUGCGACCAGGUGCCCCACUCCCUGGGUCUCACCUCAUCCGAUCGUGCCGUGUACAAUGAGCGGUUAUAUUUGAAUCAUUACAAGCUUAACACUUAAGCAAAACUUGUUGCUGGCCUUGACAACGCAUCGCUGAAAUAAAAAUAUUCGUGUCGGGAUGGUUUUUAGCUAAUAACGGGUUUAUCGGUGAGAAAGGAAGGGGAACAACGGCAAAAAACUGUUUCACAAAUCUGACCGCGACAUAUCGACGCGCGAGUCUUGUCGCGGGUUCAUUCGGUCGGAUUCUCUGGCUGACGCGACUGACGGCGGAAUUCGCACAACAGCGGGUGCGUUACGAGCACUUGAUUUCGCCUCGAAACCGGAUUUGUAUAUGUAGAUUUGAUAAAGUAUAUGUGCAAAAAUCCGAGUAGUAGAAGUUUUCCACAUUUUCCAAAAAUCCAACUUUUGCCAACCUGCAUUGUCCCGAGUUUAGACCCGGUGAUGGAUAACUCCACGGUUCGCCAAUUUCGUCAACAGUACGAACGGCAGCCGAAUCGCCUGGACUGGAAAUUCCUGCGACACAAGAACUUACGGCUGUAUUUUUUUUGAGUAAG
Molecule: long non-coding RNA, 992 nt
Filed under: Neodiprion lecontei (redheaded pine sawfly)
Lineage: Eukaryota; Metazoa; Arthropoda; Insecta; Hymenoptera; Diprionidae
Description: uncharacterized LOC124294134
Source: RNAcentral